Molecule: small nucleolar RNA, 129 nt
Organism: Jaculus jaculus (lesser Egyptian jerboa)
Lineage: Eukaryota; Metazoa; Chordata; Mammalia; Rodentia; Dipodidae
Source: Ensembl
GUGCACAUUUCAUUGUCUUUUUUCUUCUUAUCAAGAGAAAAGAUAUUUCUGAUGUGCUAAACUAACCCUGGAGGUAAAUUAACAGCAUGUCUUGAUUUAGUCAUUGCUGUCAGUCACCUUCAGACAAGU